Salvia splendens (bonfire salvia) is the source of this 504-nucleotide long non-coding RNA. RefSeq lists it as uncharacterized. NCBI's taxonomy places the organism in Eukaryota, Viridiplantae, Streptophyta, Magnoliopsida, Lamiales, Lamiaceae. The transcript is spliced from 4 exons. The record is from RefSeq and is a predicted model, not a curated record.
GGAUAUCUAUUUUGAGCUCUAAAAGGGCGUCCAUAGGGCAGUAACAAAAAAAAAAAUUAUUAUUGCUAGUUUGUCCACAAUCGGUGCUCUUAUGACUGCAAUGUGACUGCCAGUUGAGAAGUCAGGCAAGGGCAUUCUUUCAGAUGUCUUGAAAUGCCUUGGCGACACAGAAAGCAUAUGCGUGACUGUACAUUGAGUACCUUAGAUGAUUGGCUUGGUGCUGCUCAUCUUGAUAAAAUGCUACCAUAUAUUACAGCUGUUCUGACAGACGCUAAAAUAUCCAGAAGACAACUUGCUGGAUUGGUCGCUGUUUGUGUCAACUUUAUGUCUCAGAUUAUUUCCUCAAACCCACUGCAUCUGCUAUGACGGUUUUUCAUUACGCAAGGUUGUUAUUCUGUAGGUAGCUAUUUGUGUCAACUUUAUGUCUCAGGAUAUUUCUUGGCUACCUUUCCAGUAUAAAUAAUCAGAUGUUCGUAAAGAGGCUGAAGCAUGCUUUAAUGAAAU